Molecule: long non-coding RNA, 1456 nt
Organism: Melanotaenia boesemani (Boeseman's rainbowfish)
Lineage: Eukaryota; Metazoa; Chordata; Actinopteri; Atheriniformes; Melanotaeniidae
Exons: 5
Source: RefSeq, a predicted model, not a curated record
GCUUUAUAUCUUGUCUUAAAUAUCUAUCUUAAAUUUUGAAUGAGUAUUUCCCUCAUGUGUGAAGUCUGGCUUCAUUUCCUUUGCUGACCUGCUUCUGUUAUUAUCGGCUGUCUCUAAUUGAUUUCACCUGUGUCUCAUCAGUCUGAGUGGAUGCGUGUCACACACCUGCCUGCUUUCCCCUGGAUUCCCUGUUGGAUUUUCUUUGACUGGACUUUAAGUUUCACUACUUCUGUGGCAUCUUCAGUUGUUCUCAGUUGGGAAUUUGCCACCACUUCGAGUUUCUUUUGCCUAAUUAGGACUACUCUACUGUUAACAUCAAGGACGGACAUCGAGUUAGAGUCUUUACACAGGUGAAGAGAUGGAGACUUGACGCCACAUCUGUGAUGUCCCUGAUUGGAUGUUAAAGCCAGAGGAGAGAUUGACGGCCAAUCAUGGUUCCCUACCUGCUGAAGCUUUUCAUGCUGGUACCAGAGCAAAGGUCUCAACAAAGCUGACAUGUCCAGCUCGACAGAUACAGGACUUGUGUACUAGACGCUGCUGCUGAGGUCAUUGGGAGGAAUCCAGUAUAUGCAACUUUCCCAACGGGUGUAAGACGAGUGUAUGCUCGCAAGCCGCCUUUUUGAAGAGGUGCAAAGUGAGCUGGUGGUUUUAAAGGAUCAGACUGAUUGAUGACCUGACUGGAUUUGUGAUUACAGAAGUAAUGAGAGCAUAUCCCCUUGCCUCAUCCUGCACUUGUCCUUCCUCCACCAUGCACACUGACAGUAGGAUUUGGCCAACAAUGGACCCAGUGGAAGAAAUUAUCAGAAGGUCAGAAGUUUGUCACUGGGAUACUGCCAAAACCUGGCAGAUACACCUGGAACCUGAUCUGCAGCCACUCCAAAGAGAUUCCAGGAGCGAGCAAGGCCCCAGUUCUGCUUGAAUCUACUGGUAAGGCUCCAGCCUGGCUAUGACAGUUUAUGGGGCGGUACAGUUGGAUGCCCCACAUUCAGCAUCCCAGGGGGUCAACCAAGACACCUGCCAGAAAAGAUAGACACUGGAGGAGGAGGCAGGUUCAUACAGACCUUCUCUUACACUGUUUCUAGCUCCACAGUCUUAGCCUCCUCUGCCAGGUCAAAGCCAUGGCUUUCAGCAAUUCAGUCUUCGGAACAUCAGCCACCACCUUCAUCAGGUCCCUGCUGCCAAGGCCCAUACCAAGCCCUCCUCUAGUUUCUGUUCCUGUGCAGGGCCCUGCCGCCUUGAGUGUUGUCCGGAUUGGUUCCUCCCCCCUACCUGUCCUCUAGACCCAUGAUUCCCAACCUUUUUUCCUCAGGGAAGCCCUUCAUGCAUAUAUUAAAAUGCCAUGGACCCCUUGCUUCACCCUGUGCUGAAACCUUGCUGGUUUUUAGGCUUUCUAAAGGGAGAUUCUCACCAUAAAUAAUGUAUUCUGGUUGAGUCCUGUCCUUUGAUAAAGCCAAAG